GAUGAACGCUGGCGGCGUGCCUAAUACAUGCAAGUCGAGCGAACAGAUGAGGAGCUUGCUCCUCUGACGUUAGCGGCGGACGGGUGAGUAACACGUGGAUAACCUACCUCUAAGACUGGGAUAACUUCGGGAAACCGGAGCUAAUACCGGAUAAUAUAUUGAACCGCAUGGUUCAAUAGUGAAAGACGGUUUUGCUGUCACUUAUAGAUGGAUCCGCGCCGCAUUAGCUAGUUGGUAAGGUAACGGCUUACCAAGGCAACGAUGCGUAGCCGACCUGAGAGGGUGAACGGCCACACUGGAACUGAGACACGGUCCAGACUCCGACGGGAGGCAGCAGUAGGGAAUCUUCCGCAAUGGGCGAAAGCCUGACGGAGCAACGCCGCGUGAGUGAUGAAGGUCUUCGGAUCGUAAAACUCUGUUAUUAGGGAAGAACAAAUGUGUAAGUAACUAUGCACGUCUUGACGGUACCUAAACAGAAAGCCACGGCUAACUACGUG
Molecule: ribosomal RNA, 497 nt
Filed under: uncultured bacterium
Lineage: Bacteria
Description: partial 16S ribosomal RNA
Rfam family: Bacterial small subunit ribosomal RNA
Source: RNAcentral